CGAACAGACGAGGAGCUUGCUCCUCUGACGUUAGCGGCGGACGGGUGAGUAACACGUGGAUAACCUACCUAUAAGACUGGGAUAACUUCGGGAAACCGGAGCUAAUACCGGAUAAUAUAUUGAACCGCAUGGUUCAAUAGUGAAAGACGGUUUUGCUGUCACUUAUAGAUGGAUCCGCGCCGCAUUAGCUAGUUGGUAAGGUAACGGCUUACCAAGGCAACGAUGCGUAGCCGACCUGAGAGGGUGAUCGGCCACACUGGAACUGAGACACGGUCCAGACUCCUACGGGAGGCAGCAGUAGGGAAUCUUCCGCAAUGGGCGAAAGCCUGACGGAGCAACGCCGCGUGAGUGAUGAAGGUCUUCGGAUCGUAAAACUCUGUUAUUAGGGAAGAACAAAUGUGUAAGUAACUAUGCACGUCUUGACGGUACCUAAUCAGAAAGCCACGGCUAACUACGUGCCAGCAGCCGCGGUAAUACGUAGGUGGCAAGCGUUAUCCGGAAUUAUUGGGCGUAAAGCGCGCGUAGGCGGUUUUUUAAGUCUGAUGUGAAAGCCCACGGCUCAACCGUGGAGGGUCAUUGGAAACUGGAAAACUUGAGUGCAGAAGAGGAAAGUGGAAUUCCAUGUGUAGCGGUGAAAUGCGCAGAGAUAUGGAGGAACACCAGUGGCGAAGGCGACUUUCUGGUCUGUAA
This 690-nucleotide ribosomal RNA is filed under the name uncultured Staphylococcus sp. RNAcentral's name for it is "bacterial SSU rRNA". It matches the Rfam family "Bacterial small subunit ribosomal RNA", at positions 63 to 739 of the family's 1533-position model. Lineage: Bacteria; Bacillati; Bacillota; Bacilli; Caryophanales; Staphylococcaceae. The record is from RNAcentral.